GAUGAAGAACGUAGUGAAAUGGGAUAAGUAAUGUGAAUUGCAGAAUUCAGUGAAUCAUCGAAUCUUUGAACGCACAUUGCGCCCGCCAGUAUUCUGGCGGGCAUGCCUGUUCGAGCGUCAUUACAACCCUCAGGCCCCCGGGCCUGGCGUUGGGGAUCGGCGGAAGCCCCCUGCGGGCACAACGCCGUCCCCCAAAUACAGUGGCGGUCCCGCCGCAGCUUCCAUUGCGUAGUAGCUAACACCUCGCAACUGGAGAGCGGCGCGGCCACGCCGUAAAACACCCAACUUCUGAAUGUUGACCUCGAAUCAGGUAGGAAUACCCGCUGAACUUAAGCAUAUCAAUAAGCGGAGGA
RNAcentral lists this unclassified non-coding RNA (353 nucleotides) under soil metagenome. Its description in RNAcentral is "partial contains 5.8S ribosomal RNA, internal transcribed spacer 2, and large subunit ribosomal RNA". The stretch from base 1 to 120 matches the Rfam family "5.8S ribosomal RNA", at positions 35 to 154 of the family's 154-position model. The record is from RNAcentral.